RNAcentral lists this ribosomal RNA (504 nucleotides) under uncultured bacterium. RNAcentral describes it as "partial 16S ribosomal RNA". It matches the Rfam family "Bacterial small subunit ribosomal RNA", at positions 29 to 523 of the family's 1533-position model. The record is from RNAcentral.
AAUGAACGCUGGCGGCAGGCCUAACACAUGCAAGUCGAGCGGUAGCACAGAGAGCUUGCUCUCGGGUGACGAGCGGCGGACGGGUGAGUAAUGUCUGGGAAACUGCCUGAUGGAGGGGGAUAACUACUGGAAACGGUAGCUAAUACCGCAUAACGUCGCAAGACCAAAGAGGGGGACCUUCGGGCCUCUUGCCAUCAGAUGUGCCCAGAUGGGAUUAGCUAGUAGGUGGGGUAACGGCUCACCUAGGCGACGAUCCCUAGCUGGUCUGAGAGGAUGACCAGCCACACUGGAACUGAGACACGGUCCAGACUCCUACGGAAGGCAGCAGUGGGGAAUAUUGCACAAUGGGCGCAAGCCUGAUGCAGCCAUGCCGCGUGUAUGAAGAAGGCCUUCGGGUUGUAAAGUACUUUCAGCGGGGAGGAAGGUGUUGAGGUUAAUAACCUCAGCAAUUGACGUUACCCGCAGAAGAAGCACCGGCUAACUCCGUGCCAGCCGCCGCAGUAA